This 70-nucleotide transfer RNA is filed under the name Eviota ocellifer (ocellated dwarfgoby). RNAcentral's name for it is "tRNA-Ser". Lineage: Eukaryota; Metazoa; Chordata; Actinopteri; Gobiiformes; Gobiidae. The record is from RNAcentral.
GAGAGAGGGCUUGCCCUGCAACGAAGGCUGCUAUCCCUCGUCCCAUCGGUUGGAAUCCGGUGCUUUCUCG